AAAAACAUGUCUAUAUGAGUAUAUAAUAUAAAGUCUAGCCUGCCCACUGAGUAUUUAAAGGGCUGCGGUAAUUUGACCGUGCAAAGGUAGCAUAAUCAGUAGUCUUUUAAUUGAAGGCUUGAAUGAACGGUUGGAUGAGAGAGAAGCUGUCUCUUUUAUAAAUUAAAAUUUGACUUUUAAGUGAAAAGGCUUAAAUUGCGUAAAGGGACGAUAAGACCCUAUAAAACUUUAUAAGAGAUUUAUUUUAUUUUUAAAUUCUUCUUUAAAAAUUGUGAAGUAAUUCUUUUAUUUUGUUGGGGCGACAUUGAUAUAAGCUGUAACUGUUUAAAUAAAAACUAUAAUUAUCAUUAUUGUUUGAUCCUUCUUUGUGGAUAAAAAGACUAAGUUACUUUAGGGAUAACAGCGUAAUUUUUUUUGAGAGUUCUUAUCGAAGAAAAUAGUUGCGACCUCGAUGUUGAAUUAAAAUUUCAGGCAAGUGUAGCCGCUUGCUAUGUCGGUCCCUUCGACCUUUAAAAUUUUACGUGAUCU
Molecule: ribosomal RNA, 528 nt
Filed under: Palaemon serrifer
Lineage: Eukaryota; Metazoa; Arthropoda; Malacostraca; Decapoda; Palaemonidae
Description: partial 16S ribosomal RNA
Rfam family: Bacterial large subunit ribosomal RNA
Source: RNAcentral